GACAGACAAUCGCGGCUGCAGAUGCCGAAAGGCAGCAGGUGAGGAAAGUCCGGGCUUCACAGGGCAGGAUGCCGGAUAACGUCCGGUGGAGGUGACUCCAAGGCCAGUGCAACAGAAAUAUACCGCAUUAGCAAUGAGCCAUGCAGUAUGAUAGCAGCAACAUUUGAGUUGUCUGUAUGGCUCAUUGCUAAUGUAAGGGUGGAAAGGCAGUGUAAGAGACUACCGCCUCUCUGGUAACAGCGAGGGCACAUGUAAACCCCAUCCGAAGCAAGACCGGAAGAAAGCAAUGUGGCUGCCCGUCACGCUUUAGGUAGGUCGCUUGAUCCCGGUGGUAACACCGGGGCUAGAUAGAUGAUUGUCCAACGACAUAACCCGGCUUAUCGUUUUGCUUGA
This 393-nucleotide RNase P RNA is filed under the name uncultured Schaedlerella sp. RNAcentral's name for it is "Bacterial RNase P class A". It matches the Rfam family "Bacterial RNase P class A". From Rfam's summary of the family: Ribonuclease P (RNase P) is a ubiquitous endoribonuclease, found in archaea, bacteria and eukarya as well as chloroplasts and mitochondria. Its best characterised activity is the generation of mature 5'-ends of tRNAs by cleaving the 5'-leader elements of precursor-tRNAs. The record is from RNAcentral. Lineage: Bacteria; Bacillati; Bacillota; Clostridia; Lachnospirales; Lachnospiraceae.